UUCUCUUUCUACAUAAACGCUUACUAAUUCCAAGGAUAAAUAAUUUAUGUUAAAACAAUGUGCUGAUAAAAUAAUUCAAUUCAACUAAAGCGUUAAAUUUAAAUACUUACUUCCGGCACUGUAUCUAGCGGUACACGUGACUAAUGCUCGGUGCCGCGCGUUUCACUGUAGUGGUGCAAGCGCGCAAGCUGUUGGCGUAUACGUUCGGCCCAAAACACGGGGGUUCGUCGGGUUCGGCUGCCUUCCCGAGCGUUUAUUCGUAAACAAACCACCGGCGUGCGUGGACUGUGGCGCGUAACCACGGAGCUUGCGCCCGUCGGCGGCGUGGCUUCGGUGGGACCACUGGCCAUGGUCCCACCGGCGGUACCCUUGCCUUGCAGUCCGCUGAUCAGUAUCUCGUCCACGAGGCGCGGUGCGUUAUUGUGCUACGAAAAAAGUUACGGAAAGUUGAAAACAAAAAAAAAAACAAAACAGCAACAUACUUCACAUCGCCUUCGUUUUAUCGCUUCCUAUCGAUAGUUUUAGCAAGUAAAUCAGAAGCUGGAAAAAUAGUGCUGGUGGGGUUUCGAAUUAAUUUAAGACAGAGCAAUAUACGUGUUGCAUUUACAGUGUAAGAAUACAUUUACUUCUGAAGCCUGUUCUGUUUGGUGCACCUUCACGCAACCAGCUUUGCUUUCUUUCCCCGUCUGAAACUAUACCAAGUGUGUGAAAAGCAAGUGUCAGAGGAGCCCACACACCCGUUUACACCGGUGAUGCAUCCUUGGUGUAUGUUUCCACCUGCGCGGAACGGUGCAAUGUGCACCAGAAGAAACAACCCAACAUGAUUAACGUGUGAAUGGUUCUGCGAGCAUACGGCUAACACAUUGUAGUCGGUUUCGGGCGUAUUAAUCGAUCGUACCGCGAUCGGAUGUGCGAAUUCGUGUACACUCAUGUGCUGCUGCGUGUCUUGCGGAGCUGAAAUUAAAAUCGCCAUCAUCAUCUCAAGAUCCGCGGGGUGCAAAAGGGAGAGGAGUAAGCCCUCGAAGGCAUGAAGCGGAUGUACAUCGUUAAUUUGGGAUAUUUUCGCCGUUCUGAAAAAAGAUAUCGCUUUGUGGCAGCUACUAGCAACAGGAUCGUAAUCGAUUAUUUGCGGUGCCAGCUACACGGCGUGUAUCACCCCAAGGCCUGUUUGGUGCUAUUCGGCUGGCCAGUUGGAGCCGCCCGCAACCUUACCCCAAACCUGGAGCCCACCAUAGGAAAAAAGGGAACCGUAAACCGGGAUUGAGUUUGGUUGCGGACGGAUCGAACUAGCAGACUGACUGACGGACUGGAUGGAUCUGGAAUCUCGGAAUGGUCGCAGCGUGGAAAGCGAUCGCAUUCUGGUCGCACUGAACUCUGAACGCUGAACGCUCAACGUAUGAUGGUUGCGGAACCGUGGUAGACGACACAACAACAGGCGACGUGUAAUGCUGCAAAUCAAUCCGUGUCGAGGCUCAUUGGGUUGAAGUUUCAACUACGGAUCGAUACGGCCGCACACUGGCUCCUUCAGCACAACACACACAAACACGCUCUAUUUUACUAAACUAGAAGCUAUUUAACUUCACCAUCGUAUCACACUGAUUCUUUAUGCCAGUUAUCGCCCAUCCGCGUGGUUAACGAUAGCAAAACAGUAUGCGAGGAUUGUUUUGGUACGUUAAACACCGACAUGGACGAUGACACAGCGAAGGGCAAGGCGUGUGUUUUAACAUCAGCAAAAGGUGUAGACAUUUUAGUUUUUAAACAUCUCCUACUAAUACCCCAAACAUUGCUAAUUGCUUAGGAUUGUGCGAUGAGGAAAAUGAAUCCGCUUUUAGCUUAUCCCUUUUUCAUGUAGCUCCAAACACCGUAUCCAUUGCAAAGAAACCGAACACCAACACAGGAGGUCGGAAAAGGGAAAACCUAAGACGAGGUGCUUCAAAUUUUCGAACAUUACAAAUCUUUUACAAUUACCAAUGAAAAAGGUGUAUGUUUUUUUAUUCUCAAGGAUUAUGAAAUGAAAAAGUUUGGCUUGAUGUAGGGCGAAGUUGUAUAGCAUGAUACGGUUAGCAUCAGUAAGCUAACAUUCGUUGCGAUCCACCUGCGCAAAAGAUGCGCGAGAAAACACACGUGUUAUUCAAUUGCGUGUUUUUAUUUUUCAAGUUUUCGCGCAAAUUGAUGGCGCUUUUGCGAGAUAUGAUAGAUAAGCGAGGAACAAAAAAUCACAUUACAUUUGAUGCGAGGAAAAUAAAUUAUAUACAUUUGUUUUAGUUAUUGGCAAUCUUUUGCUUCUUUUAUUUUUGCGCAGAUCCACUCACAGGAUCCAUUAUACUAUACUGCUUGCUAAAUAACUAUACUAAUAGGUUUCGGUCUGACACCGGUUGAGAAGACACCGGGGUUAAAGACACACAUUGUUGCACCAAAACGAAAGGUGACUAAAUGAUCGUUUUACUGUUUGCUAACAGCAACUACAAAUUAGAUGAUAGAGAAAAGGCAAUGCAGCGCAGGCAAAGCAUGUGAAGCAGUUGAUAAUAAUGAGGAGAGGAGCACAAUUACAGUGCAGUUGAGACAACACAAAAUGAUAAAUGGAAAGAAUUUCAAACCCCGCAUUUAGCAUGUAAGUGAACAAUCAAAAGUAGAAAAAGAUGUGAAGUAUACACGAAGAGCAAAUAAAAAUAUAUAACUUUACAAAA
This is a long non-coding RNA of Anopheles gambiae (African malaria mosquito), 2687 nucleotides long. RefSeq lists it as uncharacterized. The record is from RefSeq and is a predicted model, not a curated record. Lineage: Eukaryota; Metazoa; Arthropoda; Insecta; Diptera; Culicidae. The transcript is spliced from 2 exons.